GGUCGGUUAGCUCAGUUGGUUAGAGCGUCGUACUAAUACACCAGAACACUGAUGUAUUGAGUAAUGCGAAGGUCAUGGGUUCGACCCCCAUACUGACCA
Molecule: transfer RNA, 99 nt
Filed under: Hypoxylon argillaceum
Lineage: Eukaryota; Fungi; Ascomycota; Sordariomycetes; Xylariales; Hypoxylaceae
Description: tRNA-Ile
Rfam family: tRNA
About the family: Transfer RNA (tRNA) molecules are approximately 80 nucleotides in length.
Source: RNAcentral